UACGUAGGGUGCAAGCGUUGUCCGGAAUUAUUGGGCGUAAAGAGCUCGUAGGCGGUCUGUCGCGUCGGCUGUGAAAACCCGGGGCUCAACCCUGGACCUGCAUUCGAUACGGGCAGACUAGAGUUCGGCAGGGGAGACUGGAAUUCCUGGUGUAGCGGUGAAAUGCGCAGAUAUCAGGAGGAACACCGGUGGCGAAGGCGGGUCUCUGGGCCGAAACUGACGCUGAGGAGCGAAAGCGUGGGGAGCAAACAGG
This 253-nucleotide ribosomal RNA is filed under the name uncultured bacterium. RNAcentral's name for it is "partial 16S ribosomal RNA". It matches the Rfam family "Bacterial small subunit ribosomal RNA", at positions 524 to 776 of the family's 1533-position model. The record is from RNAcentral.